AAGAUUUCUGCAGGGCUGCAGCAGCCUCUGGAACAGAGGCAUCUUCUAACGAAGUGACCUGGAGAGGAGAGGGGACCUGGGCCUGACUGCAUCCCCAGGGUGCUCUGGCCCCAGGGAAGAAAGCUGUCAUCCCUUGCUGCACUUUGGGGGGGGGGGACACGGGACCCUCCCCCUGCCCAGGGGCAAAAGACAGCUGUAUCACAAUGAACGAAGAGGCCCUGAGGAAGAAGUCUGGUGAAUAUUUCUCAGAAUGCGUUCUAAAGUUGGUUAAAAAGCUGGCAACAAGAAUAGAAGAACUGCAAACAAUGCAGCCUGCCUUUGCCAAGACACAAAUAGGAAGAAGCAUUUGAAAGGACCAUGUACGGUAUCAAAUUAUCUGCAAAGAUGAAGAAAGUAAUGACUUACAUUCUCCGUCCUCUGACUGGGUGAUUCAUCAAAGUGGAAGACGAAGCAGUUGGAGAUGAAAGUCACUCCCAAAAGAAGGCAAAAAGGAUGAGCUUGGAAAGAGCCAAUUUAAUUAGACAAGUUCACAUGGGACCAGAGUAUCUGUGACUGGGGGGGGGCACCUAAGUGUUUUGUUCUUCUUUAUGUCCUGCACAGCCUUUGACAAAGUUUAGGCCUGACUCACUACGUUCAUCUGGAUCAUGGGUAGCUUGAGACGCACCCCCUGCACACAGGGUAACCUGUGUACAUACACAGACAAUAGCGGUUGUGUUUUGCACACUGGGUUAGACUGAAGGGGAGAAAUAGGUGUCCCUGAUCUGCCUGGCAUCAAAAGGUUCCUCUUGGUAGUCUCCGGCUAUUUUUGUAAUGGUAUAUCGAAAUAGAACUCACACACCACACUAUCUACCCAUUUGCAUUUCCUAAAUAUUUUCUUGUUUAAAAAUCUGCCUUAUUCAAUGACUGCAAUCUCCACGAGGGUGA
Molecule: long non-coding RNA, 924 nt
Filed under: Heterocephalus glaber (naked mole-rat)
Lineage: Eukaryota; Metazoa; Chordata; Mammalia; Rodentia; Bathyergidae
Description: lncRNA (ENSHGLG00000038104.1)
Source: RNAcentral